RNAcentral lists this long non-coding RNA (321 nucleotides) under Daphnia pulicaria. Its description in RNAcentral is "uncharacterized LOC124311669, transcript variant X2". Lineage: Eukaryota; Metazoa; Arthropoda; Branchiopoda; Diplostraca; Daphniidae. The record is from RNAcentral.
CAUCUGUCAAUCAAUGCGUCUUGUCUACCGACCCGGAUCCCCCGUGUAGCCUAUAUAUCGAUCCUCUCGAUCCUGGUUGCUUACAUCCGCCAAGUUUUUAUCGGGUUUUUAUUGAAACCAGCAAGAAAAAAGCUCGCAGAAACAUUCGCGAAGAUAACGGAAAAGAGAAACCAACACGGGGGAAAGAAACAAAAGGACGCCAGUUCAUCCAUUCUCACGCUCAAAAGAAGUUCCGUUGAUUACUGUACCUUAACAGGAAUUUCCGCAAGCUUUUCUGCUUAACAUUUAAGGAACAAAUUUCUAUUACCUACCUUUUGUUCG